UACGUAGGUGGCAAGCGUUGUCCGGAAUUAUUGGGCGUAAAGCGCGCGCAGGCGGUCCCUUAAGUCUGAUGUGAAAGCCCACGGCUCAACCGUGGAGGGUCAUUGGAAACUGGGGUUCGAGAGAGGUGAGUGGAAUUCCGAGUGUAGAGGUGAAAUUCGUAGAUAUUCGGAGGAACACCAGUGGCGAAGGCGGCUCACUGGCUCGAUACUGACGCUGAGGUGCGAAAGCGUGGGGAGCAAACAGG
Molecule: unclassified non-coding RNA, 245 nt
Filed under: uncultured Caryophanales bacterium
Lineage: Bacteria; Bacillati; Bacillota; Bacilli; Caryophanales
Description: uncultured Bacillales bacterium contains 16S-23S intergenic spacer region
Rfam family: Bacterial small subunit ribosomal RNA
Source: RNAcentral